GGGCGCUUAGCUCAGUUGGUAGAGCGCCUGCCUUACAAGCAGGAUGUCGGCGGUUCGACCCCGUCAGCGCCCA
This 73-nucleotide transfer RNA is filed under the name Acinetobacter sp. TGL-Y2. It matches the Rfam family "tRNA". Rfam says of the family: Transfer RNA (tRNA) molecules are approximately 80 nucleotides in length. Their secondary structure includes four short double-helical elements and three loops (D, anti-codon, and T loops). Lineage: Bacteria; Pseudomonadati; Pseudomonadota; Gammaproteobacteria; Moraxellales; Moraxellaceae. The record is from Rfam by way of RNAcentral.